This 495-nucleotide ribosomal RNA is filed under the name uncultured bacterium. RNAcentral's name for it is "partial 16S ribosomal RNA". It matches the Rfam family "Bacterial small subunit ribosomal RNA", at positions 28 to 507 of the family's 1533-position model. The record is from RNAcentral.
GACGAACGCUGGCGGCGUGCCUAAUACAUGCAAGUAGAACGCUGAAGGAGGAGCUUGCUUCUCUUGAUGAGUUGCGAACGGGUGUGUAACGCGUAUGUAACCUGCCUGGUAUCGGGGGAUAACUGUGGGAAACGAUAUCUAAUACGGCAUAAUAUUUACUAUUUCAUGUUAGUCAGUUGAAAUGUGCAACUGCACCACUACCAGAUGGACCUGCGUUGUAUUAGAUAGUUUGUGGGGUAACGGCUCACCAAGGCGACGAUUCAGAGCCGAACUGAGAGGGGGGUCGGCCGCAUGGGGACUGAGACGCGGCCCAGACUACUACGGGAGGGCGCAGAAGGGAAUGUUAGGCAAUGGACGGGAGUCUGGCAGAGCAGCGCCGAGCGAGUGACGGAGGUUCUCCGAUCGUAAAGACGUGUUGUGAGAGAAGAACGAGUGUGAGAGUGGAAAGCUCACAUUGUGACGGUACCUAAACAGAAAGGGACGGCUAACUACGUG